AUGUCAGGGCAGGAAACGCCCCCUCAGGACACAGACCCAGGCUCACGGUGGGAGGGUACACGUGUGUGCGGAGGGAGGGGAAGGGCCUGCCACAAGUGUCUUACCUCUCUCUGUCUUUGGGUUCAGAGGAGAAUGUCCUCUUGGAGGAGUGCGGUUAGCCCAGGUGUUAGGAGCAGCCUACCUGUGUCAAGAGCCUUUCCAUGUGCUGCUUUGAGAGUGUUUGGAACCGGCGCCCAUUCCCUGCCUCUACAGAAAUGGAUCUCGAAUGUGCCUAGAAGGGUCUGGGGCUGAGGCUGCCACUACUCCUAGCCCCUUGAUGAUUCAGGAAUGCUUCUACUGGCUGAGCACGCCCUCCGUCCCUCACUGGUCCAGUCGGACAGGACUUCAUCACUGAGCCACUACUCCCCGACUCCCAGCUCCUAGUGAGUAUACUCGCACUGGGCCAUGACCCCAGUACAUGGAGAGACUGGGCUAAGCAUCUGUGGUUUAGCUUCUGUUGUCCUCACCUGUGGCCCAUCUCUCCACACUCAGUGUGAGGAACACAAGUUCUUUCUCCAGUGAUGUCGUAUAAUUGAAAUACUCAGCUACUUGAGGUCAUUUUCCCACCUGUGGUUCACAAGGUUCAUCUCCUUGCAAACAUGAUGUCACAUUUACAGGAAAUACAUGUCUAAAACCUUCCCGCAUCUGAGGUGCUUCCUAUGUCCUGGGUAAACAAACUUGUCAGAGAGCAGAUGUGCGUGCAGGGCACACUGGGGCAACUAAGCCAAUGUGGGUUCACUUGUGGUUGUUAGUAAAGAACUAUUCCUACCCAGCAGAUCAGUGUUAGGAGACGCACAGUUCUCAACACCCAGAACAGGUCUCCAUGCUCCUGGGAGUUUAGGAACUUCCAAAGGUUGACCCCAGGAGGUCUUUUGGAGAAAGAAUUAAGUUGUUUUAUGCAUGUAGGUGUUUGCCUGCAUGUGUGUGUGUGCAUCAUAUACAUGCCUGGUUCGUAUGGCAACCAGAAAAGGGCACUGGAUCUUCGGGAACUGAAGUAACAGACUGUUGUGAGCCGCCAACUGGGUUCUUGGAAUUGAGCACUGGUCCUUUGGGAGAGCAGCCAGUGCUCUUAACCACCGAGUCAUCUCUCCAGCCCUCAUCAGGAGCUCUUUUUGCUGCUGAUUUUGGGAGAGGGUCUUUUACAGCUGGCUUAGCACUCACUGUGUAGUCCAGGCUGGCUUUUAACUCUCAGUGAUCCUCCUGUGGCUAACUCCAGUAUGUUGGGAUUAUAGGUACGAUGCUACCUAUAAUCUGACCCCGUGAAGGGGAUUUUUUUAAUUUUUAAUUUUAUUUUCUAUUUUAAAAUUUAUUUUUGUGACAGUCUCAUGUAGCCCAUGUGGGCCUCAAACUCCUGGUCCUCCUGUGUUUACCACCUGAGUGCUAGAUCACAGUCAUGUAUAUUCCCAACCCAGAAAAUCCUAUGUAAUAAAGUCCCAUUUGACUUUGGUUAUUCUUUCA
Molecule: long non-coding RNA, 1497 nt
Filed under: Mus spicilegus (steppe mouse)
Lineage: Eukaryota; Metazoa; Chordata; Mammalia; Rodentia; Muridae
Description: lncRNA (ENSMSIG00000012232.1)
Source: RNAcentral